Molecule: non-coding RNA, 29 nt
Filed under: Macaca fascicularis (crab-eating macaque)
Lineage: Eukaryota; Metazoa; Chordata; Mammalia; Primates; Cercopithecidae
Also listed under: 1 other name
Source: RNAcentral
AGCUGUUAACAUUGCAGGGAGAGACAGGA